Molecule: ribosomal RNA, 375 nt
Filed under: uncultured prokaryote
Description: partial 16S ribosomal RNA
Source: RNAcentral
CCCUAUGGGGUGUUCUGGAGAGAGCCAUGAAGAGUUUGAGGCGUGAGAGUCCCGGGUGUGUGGCGUUGUUCGCGCUGGAUGUCGUGGUCAACGAAAUGUCCUCCCUCGUCUAAGGAUGUUUGGCUGCGUGGGGUUUUCUCCUGCGAACAUUUAAAAUCCUGACUUUCAUCAGCAGGAGUUUCCCGCUGCGAUUUUAUGGGGAUCCGGCUAUUUCCCGACGUGCAUUUCCCGAAACAACGACUCAAGCUGGUCCUCGGGAAGAAGUUUUCCCUCCAGAACGAUCUCUCGAAUGGUCUUCCCCGUCCGGUAAGCCUCCAGUGCGAUCUUGGAUGCUUGAUCGUAGCCCAGGAUGGGAGUCAAAUAGGUGGUGAGGGC